AACCGUGGUAAUUCUAGAGCUAAUACAUGCUAAAAACCCCGACUUCGGAAGGGGUGUAUUUAUUAGAUAAAAAACCAAUGCCCUUCGGGGCUCCUUGGUGAUUCAUGAUAACUUUACGAAUCGCAUGGCCUUGCGCCGGCGAUGGUUCAUUCAAAUUUCUGCCCUAUCAACUUUCGAUGAUUGAGUAGUGGUCAAUCAUGGUAUCGACGGGUAACGGAGAAUUAGGGUUCGAUUCCGGAGAAGGAGCCUGAGAAACGGCUGCUACAUCCAAGGAAGGCAGCAGGCGCGCAAAUUGCCCAAUCCCAAUUCGGGGAGGCAGUGACAAUACAUACUGAUACAGGGCUCUUUUGGGUCUUGUAAUUGGAAUGAGUACAAUUUAAAUACCUUAACGAGGAACAAUUGGAGGGCAAGUCUGGUGCCAGCAGCCGCGGUAAUUCCAGCUCCAAUAGCGUAUAUUAAAGUUGUUGCAGUUAAAAAGCUCGUAGUUGAACUUUGGGCCUGGCUAGCCGGUCCGCCUCACCGCGUGUACUGGUCCGGCUGGGCCUUUCCUUCUGGGGAUCCGCAUGCCCUUCACUGGGUGUGUCGGGGAACCAGGACUUUUACUUUGAAAAAAUUAGAGUGUUCAAAGCAGGCAUUUGCUCGAAUACCUUAGCAUGGAAUAAUAGAAUAGGACGUGCGGUUCUAUUUUGUUGGUUUCUAGGCCGCCGUAAUGAUUAAUAGGGAUAGUCGGGGGCAUUAGUAUUCAAUAGUCAGAGGUGAAAUUCUUGGAUUUAUUGAAGCUACUCUGCGAAAGCAUUUGCCAAGGAUGUUUUCAUUAAUCAGGACGAAAGUUAGGGGAUCGAAGACGAUCAGAUAACGUCGUAGUCUUAACCAUAAACUAUGCCGACUAGGGAUCGGGCGAUGUUAUUAUUUUUACUCGCUCGGCACCUUACGAGAAAUCAUAAGUUUUUGGGUUCUGGGGGGAGUAUGGUCGCAAGGCUGAAACUUAAAGAAAUUGACGGAAGGGCACCACCAGGCGUGGAGCCUGCGGCUUAAUUUGACUCAACACGGGGAAACUCACCGGGUCCAGACACGAUAAGGAUUGACAGAUUGAGAGCUCUUUCUUGAUUUUGUGGGUGGUGGUGCAUGGCCGUUCUUAGUUGGUGGAGUGAUUUGUCUGCUUAAUUGCGAUAACGAACGAGACCUUAACCUACUAAAUAGCCCGAUCAGCUUUUGCUGGUUGCUGGCUUCUUAGAGGGACUAUCGGCUCAAGCCGAUGGAAGUUUGAGGCAAUAACAGGUCUGUGAUGCCCUUAGAUGUUCCGGGCCGUUCGGCAGGUUCACCUACGGAGCCAACGAGUUUUUUUCUCAUCCGGAAGGCUUGGGUAAUCUUGUUAAUCUCCGUCGUGCUGGGGAUAGAGCAUUGCAAUUAUUGCUCUUCAACGAGGAAUGCCUAGUAAGCGCGAGUCAUCAGCUCGCGUUGAUGACAUCCCUGCCCUUAGUACACACCGCCCGUCGCUACUACCGAUUGAAUGGCUUAGUGAGGCGUCGGGAC
This 1533-nucleotide ribosomal RNA is filed under the name Antarctolichenia onofrii. RNAcentral describes it as "SSU rRNA". It matches the Rfam family "Eukaryotic small subunit ribosomal RNA", at positions 145 to 1715 of the family's 1831-position model. Lineage: Eukaryota; Fungi; Ascomycota; Arthoniomycetes; Lichenostigmatales; Phaeococcomycetaceae. The record is from RNAcentral.